Eubalaena glacialis (North Atlantic right whale) is the source of this 1537-nucleotide long non-coding RNA. RefSeq lists it as uncharacterized. Lineage: Eukaryota; Metazoa; Chordata; Mammalia; Artiodactyla; Balaenidae. The transcript has 5 exons. The record is from RefSeq and is a predicted model, not a curated record.
GACGCGGAGGAGAAGGGGAAGCCCCGGCCCGCGGCUCUAACGCGCGAUACCCUGCGGAGCGGAUCCAACAAUCAAUUCAUUAUUAAAGCACCAACGGCGAGGUCAGCAAAAGCAAGAAGUAACGAGUCGUCGUCUUCACCGCGGCCGCGCGCGCGCUCCCGCUCCCGCCGCUUAUCGGCUCCCGGCAGCCGCCAUGACGCCGAGAGAGCGAGCGCAACCGUCUCCGUCGUAGGCGCCUCCGCCGCCGCCGCCGCCGCCGCCACCGAGCUAGCCGUCGCCUCCGCCUCCCGCGCGACGUAAGCUUCUCCGCUCACUCCCCUUCCUCACUGGGCGCGAGACGGGCAACAGGGCGCGCGCACGCCGAACUCCACCAACUGGCGCCCGGACAGUGGGAGGGGCUACGUUGUGGAGUCGUGGGGCGUAGGAAGAAAACGAUUGGUGCUGUUGCGGGGCGGAGAGCGAGUGCGCGCACGCGCAGUGAUGGGAACGCGCACGCCGGCCGCGCAGAGGCUGCCGGACUCUGGCUGCCGCGGUGGGCUGUUAAGCCUUGCUCGGGCUCCCUCCCUUAGCGGCCUGGAGUUGAAUUCCGGGAAGUGGGAGCUGCAGGCUCGCUCCUUGCGGAAUUUUAGAAUGACUGUUGAGACUGUGGAGAAAUACAAGGGACUAAAAGAAGUACAGUACUGCUGGAGCAACAACUGAGGAAGAUGAAGCUGCAUGGUGGCCAGACCAUUCAGGGCCCAAACGCCAGUGAGCCGUUGUAACAGAGGUGGCAUGCACCCUGAGCACUUCCUGAGCCCUUCCAAGCUCCUUCCCUGGAAACUACACUCAGCCUCUCAGCAUCAAGCCAUCAUGCUUUGAACUGUGUCUGUGAGCAUCAGUGCUUUAUCUCCAUUUAUUUUGUGCAUCCAUUAGCAAGAUGUGUCCUAAGGCUAAAGCAGAGAACAACGGGGAUGGACAGAGUCUCAACUGUUGCUAAGAAACAAGUCCAGAUUGACAAGGAGAAACCAGACCCACUAAAGUCUUCAGCAUUAGCUAAAUGGAAAAGGAAUCUGCCUAAAAGAAAAUUAGCAGGCUCUCCUCCACAGUAGAGCAGUUGCAUGCCGUAAAACCCCAAAGCAGACUCAGACCACAGACUAUCUCAGCCCCUCAAGCACCUCCUGUUUUCCAGUACAAAAGAAUCUGCACCAGCUAGAAGUGGGUAUCCUUUCCCGAAAUGAAGAACCUUAGUGUCCCUUCUCAAGAGUGGCCCUGGAGGACUCUGUACAAGAGAAUCCAAACUGGAUAUAGACAGAUUUUCUAAUAACUGACUAGGAAGUUGGUCAGUUAACUCAUGCCUUAUGAGAUUUCAAGGGCCAUUAUUUACUAUCCCAAUCCUGCUGGGUACAAUACAUACUUUAGCGAGCUAGUUAAAUUUAUAUUUAGUCCACAGAUUGCAGAAUUAAUCCAAGUAUUUCUUGUAUGGGCUUUAUAUACCUAUCCUAGGGCUAGUUACAUUCAAAAUAGUGUAAAGGGGCUUCCCUGGUGGCGCAGUGGUUGA